RNAcentral lists this unclassified non-coding RNA (336 nucleotides) under soil metagenome. RNAcentral's name for it is "partial contains 5.8S ribosomal RNA, internal transcribed spacer 2, and large subunit ribosomal RNA". The stretch from base 1 to 120 matches the Rfam family "5.8S ribosomal RNA", at positions 35 to 154 of the family's 154-position model. The record is from RNAcentral.
GAUGAAGAACGCAGCGAAAUGCGAUAAGUAAUGUGAAUUGCAGAAUUCAGUGAAUCAUCGAAUCUUUGAACGCACAUUGCGCCCGCCAGUAUUCUGGCGGGCAUGCCUGUUCGAGCGUCAUUUCAACCAUCAAGCCCCCGGCUUGUGUUGGGGACCUGCGGCUGCCGCAGGCCCUGAAAACCAGUGGCGGGCUCGCUAGUCACACCGAGCGUAGUAAUACAUCUCGCUCAGGGCGUGCUGCGGGUUCCGGCCGUUAAAAAAGCCUUAUUUACCCAAGGUUGACCUCGGAUCAGGUAGGAAGACCCGCUGAACUUAAGCAUAUCAAUAAGCGGAGGA